Molecule: ribosomal RNA, 429 nt
Filed under: Bacteroidota bacterium
Lineage: Bacteria; Pseudomonadati; Bacteroidota
Description: Bacteroidetes bacterium partial 16S ribosomal RNA
Rfam family: Bacterial small subunit ribosomal RNA
Source: RNAcentral
UAGGGAAUCUUCCGCAAUGGACGCAAGUCUGACGGAGCAACGCCGCGUGAGUGAAGAAGGAUCUCGGUUCGUAAAACUCUGUUGUUAGAGAAGAACAGCGCAUAGAGUAACUGUUAUGCGUGUGACGGUAUCUAACCAGAAAGCCACGGCUAACUACGUGCCAGCAGCCGCGGUAAUACGUAGGUGGCAAGCGUUGUCCGGAUUUAUUGGGCGUAAAGCGAGCGCAGGCGGUCAAUUAAGUCUGAUGUGAAAGCCCCCGGCUCAACCGGGGAGAGUCAUUGGAAACUGGUUGACUUGAGUGCAGAAGAGGAGAGUGGAAUUGCAUGUGUAGCGGUGAGAUGGGUAGAUAUAUGGAGGAGCAGCAGUGGGGAAGGCGACUCUCUGGUCUGUAACUGACGCAGAGGCUCGAAAGCGUGGGUAGCAAACAGG